UUUUUUUUUUAAAUCAAGCUCCUAGUUUCAACGACUCAUCAGAUUACAUUCUCCAUAAAUGAUCCUUUGUGGAUGUGGAUUUUCUAGAGGGAGGUUGUGGCCAGAGGGGCUACUACUUACAGAUUUGGGUCUGGAGCAUGUUCUUCUCCAUUCAUUCUCAACGAUGCCAGCUAUUACAAGUUCCUGGAAGAAGGCAAAGAUCAGCAUCACUGACAAAAUGCCCUGAAAAACAACAGAAGAAUGAAGGUUCAGGAGUACAUGUGCAGAUGUGUUAUACAGAAAAGCUAACCACUUUGAGCUUCAAUUUUUAUGACUAUGACAAAAGACAUACCUACCCUGAGGACUGUCAGGACAAGUGAGAUGAUACAGUGCUAGUCAACAACAUUGUUCACAAUCACAGUCCUCUGAGUGGCACCCCACAAUUGAGAAGGGCAGAGAAAUUAAUAAUUCAAUAAUGCUGAAAGUCAUCAAUGCAAUCAAAAUUCCCUGUAACAGAAGAAGAAAAAAAAGAAGAGUCAUGAUGUUAGCAGGCAUUCUUGUACAUGUACCCUUAUGUAGGUGGUUUAAUUGCUGUAGAGAUAGACAUCUGGAUCUGUUUAUCAGUCAGCAGGAAGAAGCUGAUCCUAUGAUCAUCUUGGGGCCGUGGAUACUUGACACAUUAAGGGAUUCUAGGAAGUGGCCGGAGUGUGGAGUGAGAAGAAUGAAGUCCUGGAAUAAUGUCAGAAAGAUACUUCUCAGGGAAGAGUUGUUCCAUCAGGUCAGUAUGAUUGGAAGGCUUAAUAAACUAAAUUCUGACUCAUUAAAGUCAGAAGACAAACCAAGUUUUAGAAUGGGCCAAGGAUGCUCUAUGGCUAAUGCUAAAGAAAAUGUUCAUUUCAUCCCAUUUUAUCUCGUUUUAUCCCCACCAUCUUUCAUAAUCUGGAAGCAGUACAAUGUGUUAGCAAAUAUAUUUGCUUGGAAAUGAAACCUCAUUUCAAGUCCAAGUUUCAUUGGGACCUUAUGCAAGCAACCGAAUCUCUUGGAAUCUCAAUUUCUGCCUUUAAAAAUGUGAAUGUGUCACCUUUUAGGGUAGUACCCAUUUAUUCAUUUAUUUCAUAAAUAUUUAAUGUGCACCAGAUACGUGUGAGUACUGCAUUAGGCCCUGGUGGAGACACAAAAAUGAACAAAAGAGGUGACAUCCUGCAAUCACGCAGUUUACAGUCAUUCCCUGGGAGAAUUCAAACGAUAAUCAACAGAAUCAUGAACAUUUAAAGAUGUUAACCUAUUUGGACUGGAGUUUAAAGGUGUUCUUUCUUGAACUCAGUGUUCCAAUAAGAAUAUUUCACAUUGCCCCACCCAAUUCCUUUUAUUCAUUCCUAUUUUUUGUGGGAGAGGGAGU
Long non-coding RNA from Macaca mulatta (Rhesus monkey), 1378 nucleotides. RefSeq lists it as uncharacterized. The record is from RefSeq and is a predicted model, not a curated record. NCBI's taxonomy places the organism in Eukaryota, Metazoa, Chordata, Mammalia, Primates, Cercopithecidae.